This 4328-nucleotide long non-coding RNA is filed under the name Homo sapiens (human). RNAcentral's name for it is "HSALNT0405056". The record is from RNAcentral. Lineage: Eukaryota; Metazoa; Chordata; Mammalia; Primates; Hominidae.
AGAAGACGAACACAGUCACCCAGACAGCCAUCAGCGAAGAAGGGAGGGAAGGGCGAUGAAGGGACGCACCUGGGGGUCUCUGGCUGGGGCACCAGGGGCAGCCCAGCAGGAGACUGUGGCCACAGAGCCUGGUAGUUGGAUCUGACAGCCAGGAAGAGUAAGGACCAGCGAACAGGUCUAGGGAGUUCGGUGGGUGCAAUGCCUGCCCCUCUAACACACACAGGAGAUUAAGGACACCCAGGGGCCACCUAGGCCAGGGGGCGCUGGUGGCAGACACACAAUUCUUGGCCUGCGGGUGUGGUAGCAGGAGGCCUGGGCAGGGCCCUUCCCAAGCUGGCCACAUUUACAUAACAAAAGGUCAAAAUUGGAGCCACUUGUGCAAGGGCUAUUUAUAAGAACCAGUCUCAACCGCUUUUGGCUCCCCCGUUCCUUCCCUUCCUGAUCUGCUCUCACCGCCUCCCUGCCCAGAGGGCCCAGCCCCCUAGCCCGCCUGGCCUGACCACAUGGCCUUCCCUCUCCAGAGGUUUCACUGCCUAAGGGCUCACCCAAGCUGCAGGCCUGGGCUUUCAAUACCGGCCCACCAAAGCCUUGGGCAGCUGCCGCCAGGAAACGAGGGGUUCCCUCCCACCCCCAGAGCUCUGGGUCCUGCAGGAGGGGGGAUCCUGAGGUGGUGGGUCCUUGCACCCCACACCUGCCAGCCUGGGCCCCCACGGAAUAGAGCCGGGGUCGGGGAAGGGGCGUGCAGCGGCCCGUCCCCGUUUCCCCUUCCCCCACUCCACCCCCAGGGCCAGGGAGGCUCAGCAGGUCCCUCAGGAAUGUGACCAGACCCGGGGUGCCGGCCCAGAGCUGGGAGGCCUAGGCUGCAGCUGGCCAGCUGUCUCUCCAGCCCCUAGUGCAGCUCCCCUCUGGGUGGGGGGUGUGAGGGGAGGGGGUGCAUGGCUGGUCCAGGACCCCACCAAAGGCCCAGAGGGCAGCAGAACCAGCUCUGUUGGUAGGAAGCCCAAGGGCGUCCACAGUUAGCAAGGGUUGGGCCCAGUGGGCUAAUGCUGGGAUGAGGCCAGUAGGGCAGGGGCCACUGAAACACUGGCGGGAGCAGUCGAAAAACUGGGUAGAGGGUCUCGGUGGCACACUGGAGGCAAUCAGAUACCACCAUCCAGCCCUGUGCCACUUCAUCUGCUCCCCAACCACUGCCCCUCAGGACCCAGUCAACCAUGGGUAGAGCGCAUGCCAAACUCUGCAGCCAGGGGUCACCUGACCUUGCCAGAGGCCAGGCCAGCUACUGGAUGCCGCGCAGGGAGUGGGUGGCAGAAUAGGACUGGGGGGCACCUGAGUGCCAUGGGGGUGGGAACACCCUCCGUCAGUGCCCACUGCCUGGCCCUGACGGGCACUUUACAAGCCCAAGGCUAGCACUAGGUCUCCCCACCAAGGAAGGAUGGCCCCAGGCUGGGUCAGCUGUGAUGUAGAACAGGGCAGGGCUCCUCCCUGAACCCUCCACUUGAGUUAGGGGGUGUCAGAGCCACCUGCAGAAAGUUCACAGCAAGCACAAUGCCACCAUGCGUGCCAUCCACACCAGCUGGGCCAAGUCUGGGCCACAUCUAGGCCGCCACUGUGUCUGCGAGCAGCAAUGCAGCCUCACCCCAUGGCGGGGCAGGGGGGUGGCACACGCCAUCCUGCUGCGAAACGCCUACUAAGCACUGCUCCUUCCUUCUCAGCCACAGAGCUCUGCCCUACCCGCUCACCGCUGGACAUGAAACAGCAAGUGCCUAUCCUGGAGGGCUCCGCCUGGGGAGUGCCAGGCAAGGAGAAUGAGGCCUGGAGAGCUUAAGAGACUGGCCCACGGAGGAAGCAGGAGUCAUCUUUCCACAAAACUACACUUCCCCAAAAGCUGAACUCUUGGACAAGGAGCCCACUGCCAAACCUAAGAGUAACAAAUUUCAGCAAAUAAAAGGAAGUGCCAUUUCCAAUGGCAUCCUCGAAUACUCUAAGAGGUGGGGCUGGCAGAAUCCAUCAAUAGGCCUCCAGAGGCCUGCUACUAAGAGCCAGCAACGCUGCUGAAAGCGGCACUGCCUCUGCAGGCUGUGUGACCAGGACCCGGCGGGGGCCCUGCACCUGGAAGCAGAGGGGGUCGGUGGGGGAGGGGUGCUACCAGGAAGCAAGAUGUGCAUGCUGCCUGCUGGGGGCAUGAAGUCAAAGUCCCCUCCUGCCCAAAGUGGCUAGGCCAGCCCUAGGCUGCCUUAUCAGCAUCAACACAUGCCUGGAAUGUGGGACUUUGGCAACAACCCUCUCCCUUCGGCCAGCACGGGGCUGACGCCUGGUCCCUGGGCUCUGGUUCACAGUCAGAGGACAACCACCUUGAAGCACCAGAACCCGCACCCCCAGCCCAUCUACCAGAAGACAAUCUACCAAGAGUCACCGAGAGGAGCUAUCCUGCCUGUGUCCCCACACCACCAAGGGCCAUGUCUGAGCACCUCGUUUGUCCACACUCAGAGAAUCUCAAGAGCUCGGCUCUGGUCCCUGCAACGUCCAGACCAUCCCCCACAUGGCUCUCCUGGAGGUGUUCGGCAAAGGCACAGGCUGCCGUGGGGCAGAAGAUUCCCACAUACCAGACAGUAAGGAGCUGCGUGUGACUGGAAGGAUGAGGACGACCCAGAGAACGCUCUCUGGCCCCUGGUCCUUGGGGAGGAAUGGGGGACCUGCAGGGGACCACCUUCCCACUCUGGGAGCCAGAUUCCCUGGCUUUGUCCAGAGCAGCCAACCCACUACCCCACUCAAAAUGAACACCUCAGCUGCCCUCCAGCCCAAGCACUGCGCAGAGUAAGGAGUCCUCACUCACAAAUGUGUCCGAGGCUUUCACACACUUCACCUGGAGCUUCGCCACUCACUUCUUAGAUGUACGACUCUAACUUCUCUGAGCCACUUGUACAACGAGGACUGACAAGAUGAUGAGGACCACACCGGUGUGUUCUGACAACUGAACCGGGCAUAGAAUGCCCACUGCCAGGCUGAGCCCAGGAACGAGCCCAGGAUGAGUGCUUACCCUCUUCACCACUACCUUCCUAGCCUUCUGUCAGAACUCCGUGGGGACCAUCCUCUUCCCAUCUUCUAAGCCAAGUACCCUGGUACAAGCCAGACAGAAACUAUAAUAGCAGCUGCUUCCAUAAAGGGGAAGGGCCAUGGGGUCCCGGACAGGGCUGGGGUGAAGGGGCGCAAGACCUAGGGCAGGAAUCCACCCCCAGAUCACUCACUCAGGACAGGACCACCUGGACCCAGCUACCAAGAUGUGCACCACCCCCUUCCUUCUGAGCCCCUUUUCCCAUCUCCUCUACUGCCCCUGGCCAGGUUGCUGUCCCACCUCUAAGAGGCAAGAUUUCCUACCCAGGAUGCUGACCAAAACCACACCCAGGGGCCUACCCGUCCCCUCACAUGAUAGGCUGCUCCUAGCUGGCAGGAGCCGUCUUAUAGCCUCUCUCCCUCAAAUACAAACAAAACCCCAGAACAACCUAUUGUUCUGUUCCAGCAAAGGGGGCCAGGCCCAGCCAGGCCCUACCUGAAGCUCUCUGUCUCCCGUCCCCCUUCAGUCCCCUCCCACUCGUCCUUCUCUGCCCCUAUUAGUGGCCUCAUAUACCUUGUCCAGAUAACACAGCCCAAGAAACCAACCUCAGGGACAAAUCUCUUCUCUUCCAGGGAGAAGAAGACAGAGGUCCCAGGAGUCCCAGGGGCCCCCAUUACUGGCCACCUCCGCUCAACCCAAACUGCACUAUGUGAGGUCCCGCCAGACUACAUACAGGCCAACGAGAGCCCAAGAAUGCAGCCAGGAAACCAGGCCAGGCAGACUCCAAAAGCCCGUGCUACGGGGUCAGUAGGACCCGCCUACAGCUGAGGGCUAUAGGCAGCUCUCCAGAGGACCUCCCAGGAGAAGCCAGCAGUGCACAUGGGCUAGGUUCCUCCUGCUGUUCACCCUCUGUGCCCAGUAACUACCCAGGAACAGGCAUGACUGACUCUGCCAACUCAUUCACUGGGUAACCGCUGACCCCACCAGGCCCUCGGAGUAAAGCAGUUAGUGAGAACCGCAGGUAAAAGCGCGGGCUACUCAUCCCUCCGCCUGUGGAUUCUAUUAUCAACAAAGAUGCAUCACCUGCUAGAAGAGCGGUUCUCAAACUUGGCUGCACAUCAGGUUCACUUCAAAAGCUUCAGGAAAAGCUAGUGCCUUGGGCCCACCCCAGAGACAGGUAUAGCUCAAGAAACCCGGCAGGAGAGUCAAUCACUGCUCAAGGUCAUGACGGGAGUAAAUGGCAGAGCCAGCAAUGCACUACAGACUUUGCGACCGA